This is a long non-coding RNA of Poecilia latipinna (sailfin molly), 1618 nucleotides long. RefSeq lists it as uncharacterized. The transcript is spliced from 3 exons. Lineage: Eukaryota; Metazoa; Chordata; Actinopteri; Cyprinodontiformes; Poeciliidae. The record is from RefSeq and is a predicted model, not a curated record.
ACGGUAGCCCUCGAGGACUGGACGUGAGUAUCCUUGGUUUAUUGUUUUUGUUAGCAGCUAAAGCUAGCCAAGCAGGUGUAGCAGGGGGUGUCGGUGGUUAAACGAACAUUAAAACUGUCAGAAAGGCCGUUUGAGUUAACAGUAUUUAGCUGCGAAGUCGUUUUCUUGAAGUUUUCGGCUAUAGACGGCAUAAUGGGGAGAGUGGCUGUGCUGGACCUGUGGAUUGAUCUAUGCGAUCAAAGCUAAGCCAAAAUGUUUUUGUCUCUAUAAAUAAUAAUGAUAAUAAAUAAUGACAUAUUGGCUGCCUCUUUUUUUUCUUCAUUAGUACGUCAUGUUGGUGACUGAAGCCUGUUAUGAUGACUUCAACACAUUUCUUCUGACAGGUUGGCAGAAGAAAUGCUGUCCAGAAUGUUUCUAUACGCUGACUAAUUUCUAUAAUGCCUAAUGUCUGAGUUGUGUUCAUGGUAAUUAUUUCUGACAUUUUUAUGCUUUAUGUUGUAGGUGGUGAAAAAUGCUCUCCAGGGUAAACCGGGUGGACAAAGUAUUUUGAAUGACUGUGAUUGUGAUACACACACACACACACACACAUAUAGGUGGGUCUGGUUAGUUUUGCUCACACUUCUCUUUAAAAUGUUUAUUUAUUAUCCUAAUGUGUCUGCUAUUUAUCCUGUUGUUCCUCCAGGCUGGGAAAACCAGGCAUUCUUCUGUUGGUUCAUGUGCUUCAUCCUACAUCCAAAGGCCACAAGAAGAAUCCAAAACAGCUCAUGUCAAACUGUGGACCAUGUUGUCAGAUAUGUGCAGAUGCAAGCCAGUGUUGAAGCCUUCUUCCUUGCCGUGGAACCAGGACAGCCCUUCCUCCUGCAUGUUGGUGAAAACAAGAGCAGCACCAAAGACACUGCACCAUCAGUGAUCACAGGAUCAUCCAAGGUAGCUUCAGAUGAACUUUCAAAGCACACUUCACCUUCAGUGCAAAGUACCAUGAAUUCCUCUACAACUUCUGUACAUUAAUCCAGCCUACAGUUUUCAACAUUGAUGUGACUUGCACGACAAUUGAGGAGUUUAAGAUCCUUGCUUUUACUUUACCUGGCAGAGUGGACACUCUUUAUUAUGAUGAUCAUUUAAAUGCAUACUGUAUCAAUAAGAGGAUUUGUUUUGUGUUCUUCCAAUUAAGGACUUGGUGUAUUACAGUCCCUGCGGCAAGCAGUUUUCUGCAUGGUCAGCAUUGAAGGCCAUAUUGUCUUUGAGAGGGUCCAGCCAACAUUCCAGACAGGACAGUGUUGUCCAUCUUCUUCAUCUUCAACCUCCAAUAUUAACAUGAGGCAGCCAAGACUUUGGUUCAUUCAACGUCGCUUCAUUGGGAUUAACCCAGAAAGGGGCACAAAAGCCAGGCAUGGGAAGAUGGUAUCCCAAAACACAGGAAAGACCAUUCAAAAGAAAAAGUGAUGGUCAAUGUUCAGGUUUCCACCCUCAUCAAAAACCUGAUGGACUUUGAGUGGCAUCUCAUUAAUGUUCUAUCGUAAAACUAAGACUGUACUUUAAAAAGUAGCAUUACAGUUUUCUUCGCAGUAGCUUACUCAUAAAGUGAAUGCAGUAGUAAAACUAAAUUUACAGUAAAAAU